AUCGAACCUACGAUCUUUGGAAUACUAGCCAUUAUGCUCUGCCAACUGAGCUACGCGGUCAGGACGGUUCGAGUAUGUGAUAUUUCGGAAAUGAGUCUAGUUCCUUCGACAUUAAUGUAAUCUAAUAAUCAUGAUUUUUUAUGUUGGUAUUGUGUACUCAGGUGAAUACGAUGCUUGUGAUGUUACUCUGAGUGUAUUUCCACACCGUGCAAGCUGGAAAAAUAUGCCCGGCCACGGUGGGAAUCGAACCUACGACCUCUGGAAUACUAGCUUUCAAGAUUUCAAGUCCGGCCAACGUUAGUUGAAUUAAGAAUUCUGGAAUUACAGGCCAACGUUAGUUGAAUUAAGAAUUCAGGAAUUACAGGCCAACGUUAGUUGAAUUAAGAAUUCAGGAAUUACAGGCCAACGUUAGUUGAAUUAAGAAUUCUGGAAUUACAGGCCAACGUUAGUUGAAUUAAGAAUUCAGGAAUUACAGGCCAACGUUAGUUGAAUUAAGAAUUCAGGAAUUACAGGCCAACGUUAGUUGAAUUAAGAAUUCAGGAAUUACAGGCCAACGUUAGUUGAAUUAAGAAUUCAGGAAUUACAGGCCAACGUUAGUUGAAUUAAGAAUUCAGGAAUUACAGGCCAACGUUAGUUGAAUUAAGAAUUCAGGAAUUACAGGCCAAAGUUAGUUGAAUUAAGAAUUCAGGAAUUACAGGCCAACGUUAGUUGAAUUAAGAAUUCUGGAAUUACAGGCCAACGUUAGUUGAAUUAAGAAUUCUGGAAUUACAGGCCAACGUUAGUUGAAUUAAGAAUUCUGGAAUUACAGGCCAACGUUAGUGGAAUUAAGAAUUCAGGAAUUACAGGCCAACGUUAGUUGAAUUAAGAAUUCUGGAAUUACAGGCCAACGUUAGUUGAAUUAAGAAUUCUGGAAUUACAGGCCAACGACAGGCCAAGGAAUUACAGGCCAACGUUAGUUGAAUUAAGAAUUCAGGAAUUACAGGCCAAAGUUAGUUGAACAAGACGCUCCACGGAGCGUAAAGUCGCUGGGGCGAUGGAAAUAAGCACAAGUGAUACCACUUAAGAACAGCGUGUUUGUUUUUCCGAAAACAUUGAAUCUUGAAGUUUGCAGUUUGCCUG
Molecule: non-coding RNA, 1119 nt
Organism: Paramuricea clavata
Lineage: Eukaryota; Metazoa; Cnidaria; Anthozoa; Malacalcyonacea; Plexauridae
Source: the annotation of a GenBank genome assembly